CAGAUAGCUCAGUCGGUAGAGCAGGGGACUGAAAAUCCCCGUGUCGGUGGUUCGAUUCCGCCUCUGA
This 67-nucleotide transfer RNA is filed under the name uncultured Fusobacterium sp. It matches the Rfam family "tRNA". Rfam says of the family: Transfer RNA (tRNA) molecules are approximately 80 nucleotides in length. Their secondary structure includes four short double-helical elements and three loops (D, anti-codon, and T loops). The record is from RNAcentral. Lineage: Bacteria; Fusobacteriati; Fusobacteriota; Fusobacteriia; Fusobacteriales; Fusobacteriaceae.